This 558-nucleotide long non-coding RNA is filed under the name Triticum aestivum (bread wheat). Its description in RNAcentral is "long non-coding RNA (TAES_LNC010089)". The record is from RNAcentral. Lineage: Eukaryota; Viridiplantae; Streptophyta; Magnoliopsida; Poales; Poaceae.
UGGGAUUUUCGUGGAGAGCCUUGUUCUACAUUCUGUGACUGGCCUGGUGGACUCCAGAGCAAUGCUACAAAGUCCCCAUGAUGCUAGAUCAUUUCCAACAGGGCGUGGACCAUCUGCUCGUGGCGCUGGAUCGUCCUCAGCAAGCCCUCGACGAUCUUUCAAGAAGGCAAAGAGCAAUAUAAACAUGCAGUGGAGGUUGGCAUAGAUCUCGCAAACGCCUGACAUCAUAUCCAUGAAUAGUUCUCUGCUAUGUACAAUCCAAUAAAGUUUACUGGUGUUUGUUUGUGUAGAGAUGAAGAAAUAGACCAUGGGGGUGUGGGUCUGGGACAGGGUAGAACAUAAGAAGCAAAUAAGAAAGUGUCUCUGUUAGCAGUUUGUUCAUUUUUAUCGUAUGGGGAUUUAUGUGCUGUACUGGAAAAUAAAAUGAAAACUCUGAACCUGAUAUACUGUAUACUUGUUCUGGUUUGCUGUAAUGAACUGUAUUCCUGCGUUGCAUUUUUGAAAAUUAUGAUGCCAAGACUAAUAAUUCAAACCGCUGUCUCCGGUUGUUGCAUUUAU